Long non-coding RNA from Hypomesus transpacificus, 811 nucleotides. RefSeq lists it as uncharacterized. The record is from RefSeq and is a predicted model, not a curated record. NCBI's taxonomy places the organism in Eukaryota, Metazoa, Chordata, Actinopteri, Osmeriformes, Osmeridae. The transcript has 4 exons.
UGGUAUCGAAAUUGGCAUCGAGAAUCGUGUUAUUUUAAUGGUAUUGGCACCGACUACUGAAUUUUUGGUAUUGUGACACCCCUAGCGAGAAGACAUGAGGUCGAACCAGUGGUCUACCUGCUCUAGGAGCCAUGCUGUUGUCCGGUAAGAGGUGGGUCGUUGUUCCUUCUCAACCAUAUAUUUCAGGCCAGCACUUGUUGCCUUGCUGAAAACAUUUAGUGCAGGGCCUACCUUCAUCUUGUCAAAAUGACUGGGCUGAAGGGUUUUCAUUGACACAUUUGGAGCAAUUUUGAAAGCCAUCCCCUCUUGAAAAUGAACCAAAUCUUUCAGUGGACCGACUGAAGCUUCAUUGGAGGGAAGGUUCUCCCUCUCAAACGUAUCCGGUGGAAUUAUGAACGUCUGUCCGCGGACCAGGGCACUCUUCAAGUUCUUCACCAGGUGUGGGACAUCUGGCAUGAAGUGUAGCCUCCUGUCUGGUCUUGUUGGAUGUGGGACAGACGUUUUGUUGUGGUCCACACCAAAGGCCUUCCACAUUGCCCGAUUAGGACUGCCCAUGUCAGUGGUGACGUUAAUCACAUGUAGCCCGAUAGAAUCUGCUCUGUGAAUAAUGUCCAAGACAAUAGGUAACGUCACAUCCCCAUACAGCUUCCCUGUUCCCAGGUGCAGCUCCACGCUUGGAGUGAUUGACAUCUCAUCCACAGGUUCUGAUGUCAGGGAGAGGAAUCGACAUGUCCUGUAGAAGUUUGUAGCCGGUUGAGCCAGUAGCAAAACUCUUUAUCACUGUACCCUGGCUCACUUGGACACUGGGCAC